RNAcentral lists this ribosomal RNA (432 nucleotides) under uncultured bacterium. RNAcentral describes it as "partial 16S ribosomal RNA". It matches the Rfam family "Bacterial small subunit ribosomal RNA", at positions 29 to 507 of the family's 1533-position model. The record is from RNAcentral.
ACGCACGCUGGCGGCAUGCCUAACACAUGCCAGUCGAACGAGACCUUCGGGUCUAGUGGCGCACGGGUGCGUAACGCGUGGGAACCUGCCCUUAGGUUCGGAAUAACUCCCCGAAAGGGGUGCUAAUACCGGAUAAUGUCUUCGGACCAAAGAUUUAUCGCCUUUGGAUGGGCCCGCGUUGGAUUAGCUAGUUGGUAGGGUAAAAGCCUACCAAGGCGACGAUCCAUAGCUGGUCUGAGAGGAUGAUCAGCCACACUGGGACUGAGACACGGCCCAGACUCCUACGGGAGGCAGCAGUGGGGAAUAUUGGACAAUGGGCGAAAGCCUGAUCCAGCAAUGCCGCGUGAGUGAUGAAGGCCUUAGGGUUGUAAAGCUCUUUUACCCGGGAUGAUAAUGACAGUACCGGGAGAAUAAGCGCCGGCUAACUCCGUG